RNAcentral lists this ribosomal RNA (1845 nucleotides) under human gut metagenome. RNAcentral describes it as "bacterial LSU rRNA". It matches the Rfam family "Bacterial large subunit ribosomal RNA", at positions 490 to 2351 of the family's 2925-position model. The record is from RNAcentral.
GCGAACCAGUACCGUGAGGGAAAGGUGAAAAGAACCCCGAGCAGGGGAGUGAAAUAGACCCUGAACCCGUCUGCCUACAAGCGGUCGGAGCGUCGUAAUGACGUGACGGCGUGCCUUUUGCAUAAUGAACCUACGAGUUACCUUCCCCGGCAAGGUUAAGUACCUAAGGUACGGAGCCGAAGCGAAAGCGAGUCUGAACAGGGCGCCAAGUCGGGGGGGGUAGACGCGAAACCGAGUGAUCUACCCUUGGCCAGGUUGAAGGUUGGGUAACACCAACUGGAGGACCGGAUGGGUAAGCGUUGAAAAGCUUUCCAAUGAGCUGAGGGUAGGGGUGAAAGGCUAAUCAAACUCGGAGAUAGCUCGUACUCCCCGAAAUGCAUUUAGGUGCAGCCUCUUUAUAGUAUAUCGUGAGGUAGAGCGACUGAUUGGAUGCGAGGGCUUCACCGCCUAUCAAGUCCAGAUAAACUCCGAAUGCGCGAUAUAUAUUUACAGGGAGUGAGGGCGCGGGUGCUAAGGUCCGUGUCCGAGAGGAGAAGAAUCCAGACCACCGGCUAAGGCCCCCAAAUGAUCGUUAAGUUGAACUAACGAGGUCGGAUCGCAGAGACAGCUAGGAUGUUGGCUUGGAAGCAGCCAUUCAUUUAAAGAGUGCGUAACAGCUCACUAGUCGAGCGAUCUGGCGUGGAUAAUAAUCGGGCAUAAACGAUCUGCCGAAGCCGUGGAUGUCGCAAGACAUGGUAGGGGAGCAUUCCAUGCCGCGUCGAAGAUGAGGGGUGACCCUUGUUGGAGCGCAUGGAAAAGCAAAUGUAGGUAUGAGUAACGAUAAGGGGGGCGAGAAACCCCCCCGCCGAAAGACCAAGGUUUCCUGAUCAACGCUAAUCGGAUCAGGGUGAGUCGGGACCUAAGGCAAAGCCGAACGGCGCCGCCGAUGGAAGAAUGGGUUAAUAUUCCCAUACUGCCUCAUGGAGUGACGUGGAGACGGAGAAGUGACAGUCCUGCCGGCUGACGGAAUAGCCGGUUGAAGGGUGUAGAUAUUGAUUCCCGUAGGCAAAUCCGCGGGGAGAGUCGAACCUGAGAGUAUACGGAGCGCUUGCGCAACGUAAUAUGGACGUAACCAUGCUCCCGAGAAAAUCCGCUAAACUUAUCCAUGCGGCACCCGUACCGUAAACGGACACACGUGGUCGGGUUGAGAAUACUGAGGCGCUCGAGUGAUUCACGGUUAAGGAACUAGGCAAAUUGACCCUGUAACUUCGGGAUAAAGGGUCCUCGUCGUAAGGCGAGGCGCAGAGAAUAGGUCCAGGCAACUGUUUAACAAAAACACAUGGCUGUGCUAAAUGGAAACAUGAUGUAUACAGCCUGACACCUGCCCGGUGCCGGAAGGUUAAGAGGAGAUGUCAUCCGCGAGGAGAAGCGUUGAAUUGAAGCCCCGGUAAACGGCGGCCGUAACUAUAACGGUCCUAAGGUAGCGAAAUUCCUUGUCGGGUAAGUUCCGACCUGCACGAAUGGUGUAAUGAUCUGGACACUGUCUCAACCGUGAGCUCGGUGAAAUUGUAGUAUCGGUGAAGAUGCCGAUUACCCGCGAUGGGACGAAAAGACCCCGUGAACCUUUACUAUAGCUUUACAUUGAGUUUGGGCAGACGAUGUGUAGGAUAGGCCGGAGGCAUUGAAGCAGGUACGCCAGUAUUUGUGGAGCCGACGUUGAAAUACGGCCCUUCGGUUGUUUGAGUUCUAACUCCUAGUUAGGAGGACACUGUAUGGUGGGUAGUUUGACUGGGGUGGUCGCCUCCAAAAGCGUAACGGAGGCUUCUAAAGGUGCCCUCAGACCGAUUGGUAACCGGUCGCAGAGUG